UAGGGAAUCUUCCGCAAUGGACGCAAGUCUGACGGAGCAACGCCGCGUGAGUGAAGAAGGAUUUCGGUUCGUAAAACUCUGUUGUUAGAGAAGAACAGCGCAUAGAGUAACUGUUAUGCGUGUGACGGUAUCUAACCAGAAAGCCACGGCUAACUACGUGCCAGCAGCCGCGGUAAUACGUAGGUGGCAAGCGUUGUCCGGAUUUAUUGGGCGUAAAGCGAGCGCAGGCGGUCAAUUAAGUCUGAUGUGAAAGCCCCCGGCUCAACCGGGGAGGGUCAUUGGAAACUGGUUGACUUGAGUGCAGAAGAGGAGAGUGGAAUUCCAUGUGUAGCGGUGAACUGCGUAGAUAUAUGGAGGAACACCAGUGGCGAAGGCGACUCUCUGGUCUGUAACUGACGCUGAGGCUCGAAAGCGUGGGUAGCAAACAGG
RNAcentral lists this ribosomal RNA (429 nucleotides) under Bacteroidota bacterium. RNAcentral's name for it is "Bacteroidetes bacterium partial 16S ribosomal RNA". It matches the Rfam family "Bacterial small subunit ribosomal RNA", at positions 355 to 776 of the family's 1533-position model. The record is from RNAcentral. Lineage: Bacteria; Pseudomonadati; Bacteroidota.